GUGUGUGCUACCGGUACACUAAUAUUGUCAAACAAUCAAACGGUUCAACUGUCAAAACCUCGCGCUUUUUUCGUAGCCAUAUUUUUUUCACUGAGUCGAGUCGAGUGUCCACAGUUCUGCAGUCUAAAGGUGGUUCCGGUGAUUCGGUCAACGAAAAUUGCUAUCACCAUUGUUUGGAGAUCCAACGUCAUGCACGUACGUCGAUAUAGGUCGCCAUCAACCACAUCCACCUGGAUGCGUGCAAAUUCAUAUACGAAGGAUGACUGGGAAAUCGACAACCUGAAACAUUCGAUUGUGGAAGCUGCCAUGACACCAUUCCAGAGUUAGUUCGGUCUACUGUACAACGAGAAUUUCCGUUACAUGACCUAACAUUGUCUCGCGUUCGUCAUGAAAUGGGGUCAGUUUAUGGAGCUCCCUUCGAUCCCAUCAGCCGUAAUGAUCCCGAAGAGUUCUGCAAACGUCCAUCUGAUCUGCAGCCCAACGGAUGAUGAUUACUUCUACCGCCAGUUUAAUGUCAUGUGCAAGAUUUAAAGUAUAUUAUUUAUUUACAGAUAUGCAUAGUAAUAAUGUUUUCAUGUACUAUAUAAAAGAAUAAAAUAUUUUUUCAUA
Long non-coding RNA from Armigeres subalbatus, 609 nucleotides. RefSeq lists it as uncharacterized. NCBI's taxonomy places the organism in Eukaryota, Metazoa, Arthropoda, Insecta, Diptera, Culicidae. The record is from RefSeq and is a predicted model, not a curated record. The transcript has 2 exons.